This is a long non-coding RNA of Acinonyx jubatus (cheetah), 4094 nucleotides long. RefSeq lists it as uncharacterized. NCBI's taxonomy places the organism in Eukaryota, Metazoa, Chordata, Mammalia, Carnivora, Felidae. The transcript has 5 exons. The record is from RefSeq and is a predicted model, not a curated record.
GCAGGAAGCGGAAGUGGCGUCACUGGCCCGCGGCGGUCUUUGUCCCGUGGCCUAGCGCCUUUCCGAGCCUCUCCUCUUGGUCGUCUUGCGGUGCUUGGUGUCGUCGGUGAGGCCGCGUGCCAGGAAGGUUCGGAUGCAAGGAGGGCGUUAAAGGACAGGUGUGGCCCGGCCUCCGAGGGGCCUCCUUAAAGAGGCCGGGUCCCCUCCGCUCGCCCCCUUCGCGGCCGCUGGCGCCCGCGUUGGGCCGGCCGAGAGGAGCGGUGAGGGCGCACCUGCGAAGUGUUUUCGGCCACGGUGCCUCCUUGUUCAAACUCCUCCCAAGUAACCGUUGUGACUCUUCUCCAGGAGGAUGAGAAUUUCCGCUGGGCAAGUCAGGUUGGCCCGGCCCUGCGGUGGUCACCGCCCUGUCGCUCCUGGCUGUCCCGAGCCAACGUAUGACGAUUGAUGACUGAUAACAUUUACUGAUUAAUGGUAAAUACAAAACACAACUCCAGAUUACCUGGUGUCCAUGGGGAUGGCUGUCUGUACUUGUAUUCAUAAGAUACCCUGAAAUGGUCUUGGUGUCAGAGAAAGGAAUGUUGGGUAAUUUAUUCUGUCACCGUUACAGGAUGGCAGCCAUUGAUUUGUCCUCUGGUAAGUCCUGUUGAUACCCCUUGUUUUUAAUAGACUCAGCUUUAGAUCACCCUUGCACAGUGGUCUGGGCCUGAGCAGUUAUGCUGCUGGCCCUUUAAGGAGGAGUCAAAAUGGGCCAACGACUGUGUUUUCUAAGUCGUCUUACUGAUAUGUGUACGUUGGGAAGAGGUACUACAUAACUUUUUUAUUAUAUUGCUUUGGGCAGAAAAUGAGUCCCAUUUCUCGGGGCUUAAAUUUCCUUCCCUGUCAAAUUGACUUACUCUUUUCCUCACGGGCAGCAUGGAUCACUAUCCCCUUUUCAGUUCUAGGUGAGAUGAGACCAUGCUGGCAUCCUAUAGCAGUAGUCUGUGUUUGCGGGAGAUUUCUUGAGAGUUUUGGGAAUUUCACACUAGAAUAGAAAGACUUCUAGGCAGGUGAAUGCGAGAAUUAUGGUCCUCUCUGGGUAUACGUGGCUUCUUUGUUUUCUUCUAUGUUUUCUUUCUGCCUUCCUGAGGAAAAGAUAACAGUAGGAAGGAUGGUGGCUGACUGGCUGAGAGAUUGUUCUUGGCUAGGCAAAAAGUAUGUCCUUGUACAAAAGGACAUAUCUAUAUUCACCAGAUGGACACAUUUCCUCCCAGGUGGACCGAUCUCCAGAGCUUCUUAAAGUCACUCAAAGACUGAGUGUCUAUUGAAUUUCCCCACAGAAUAGAACCUUUCAUAUUGGUGGUACGGGAAUACUCUGAAAAUAAUUUGAGCGUUUCAGUAAGUACUAACUAAACUUGACUCUCAUGAUGGUGACCUUUUUUAUCUAUCGUGUGCUCUCACAGAUGAUAUGGAAGAUGGAGGUGUGCUUUUCUCAAAGAAUUGAUCCAUUCACGACCAUUUAUCAGGUGUCUACAGUGUGUUCGGGCAUGUGCUGCAUUAGAGGGAAAUAAGAAAAGAGCUCCGAGUCCAGGGGUGGUGAGACAAGGUCAUGUUUAAGAGUUUCCAUUGAAGCCAUGUGACUGGAGUGAGUAUAGGUAUUUAAAAUAUUUAGAACCAUUGACCCUUGGAGUCUGAGAGACCUUGAAACUCUAUUACUGUUUCUCUCAUCCUUGUUCCAGUGAAUAUUGAUGAUGUUCCUUGAUCCAAGCCAUUACAUGUGCGGUUAUUUAGGAUUCAGUGACCUUUGGUGAUGUGCCUGUGGACUUCACCUUGGAGGAAUGGACUCUUCUGGACCCCUCUUAGAGAACCUUAUGCAGAGAUGCAGUACUGGAUGGAGAACUCCCAGAACCUGAGUAUGGUUAUCAACUCUUUAAACACACUUUUAUCUCAUGGUUGGAACAAGAAGAGUUGAGGACAAUGGAGAGAGGUAUUCCUCAGGGUGAGUGUGAAGAACAUCCCUCAUCAAUGAGAAGUUCAGUCAGUAUGUUUGGAAAUGUAACAAGAGGCUUCUUACGAGGAAACAGAACAAAUCUUUUGGGGUGUUCCAGGAGCCCUCUGGAAAAAUGCGAGCCUUCAAGAGAUCUUGUGGCAGCCGUGAGACACACCAAAGACCUUGAGAACUGGACCAAGACCUUGAGAACUGGACCAUAAGCUAGAGGACCCUCUAGGUAGAACGGCUUCUAGGUAGAGACAUAAAGAAAGCUGCAUAGGUUGUGAAACUUCGCAUUGAAACCACAACCCGCAGAAUGCAGACUGAAACUCUUGAGCUGAUUCUACCUGGUCAGUUGCCCGGUAAAAGAAAGAGACCGCAUUCUCUAUAGGAUUUAAAGGCCCAGAGUGUCAAAGUAUUAAAAAUGUCCAGAAUAUAAUCCCAAACCAAUCAAUUAUAUGAGCAACAGAGCUUGGGCUUGUGUAUGACAAGAGUGUAGUAUAAGUACGUGACAGUAAGGAUUUUUUUCAUUGUAAUGUAAGUGCUUGAAUUUGUGAAUCACUCUGGGCUUGCUCCUUGGUCUGUGCUUUGCCCUGCAAGAAAAGGGGGAUAAAAGGGGCACCCGAGUGGCUCAGUGGGUUAAGCAUCUGACUUCAGCUCAGGUCACAACCUCAUGGUUCAUGAGACUUUAACAAGGUCUCUCCAAUUUUGGACGCUUAACCAACAGGACCACCCAGGUGCCCCUCAAAAAUUCUUCUACACCCAGAAGAGAAAUGGGGGUUUCAGGGCAAACAGUGCCUCCCAAAUUGGAGAAUUACAAGCAACUGAAUCACAGCAUUCUAGAUAGAAACCAAUGACCACAAACCUCUGUGGCAACAAGUACCAAAAUAGAGAACGCUGAAAUGUAACAGACAAAUUGGUGGAGGCCAGCAAGGGCAAAUCUGACAGGUAAAAAUUCCAGUUAUUGACAGCACAUCCCACCCCCCCCCCCCCCGCAUUUGUGGAUUUUACCUGUAGGAGCUCAAGCAGCUUCUCACCACAAAUAUUGGAGAAAAAUUCCCUCAAACUUCUGGAAGGGUGAAGGUAAAAGGAAUCAUGUUGUUAAACGCCAGAGCAUCCUAACCUUCUUAACGAGGUCGGCCCUCACGAGAAACUAUUUAACCGGAGUCUGACCUGCUGGGGAUUUAUGGGAGCCUAACUCACCUGCAGGAAGGGAUAGACACAACUCCACCCCCAGAUAACCUCCACGUGGGAGAGGGAAAACACCUCCAGCCAACUCCAGCAAUCCCAUCCCACCAAAGAGGGAGAAAAACAGGACCACGUGUGAAAUUCACAAUUCAGAGGCAAAACGUCACCAGAGAAUGAGAUCUACUCAUAGGUCUAUACAGUGCUUCCCUUUCCACCAAACCUUACUACUAUCAGAUAGCUAAAGUCUUACUUAUGGCAGUUUUGUUUACCUAGUUGUUUAUAAUCAACUAUGAAAAAAAUGUAAAACACACUAAAAGGGAAAAAAAUACAUUUUGAAGAGAUGGUACAAACAUCAGAACUAGACUCAGAAAUGGCAGGCAUGUUGGAAUGGUCAACCCGGGAAUUUAAAACGACUGUUACUAAGAUGCUAUGGUCUCUAAUGGAUAAACUAGACAGAAUGUGGAAACAGAUAGUCAAUAUUUACAAAAUCCACAAAUACUACAUUAUAAGAAAAUAUUCUGAAUCUUGAGUCUAACUUUGAAAUAGGAAACUUCCUGUAAAAACACAACUCGCGCACACUGACUUAAGAUGAAACUGGAAACCACAGCAGUCCUCAAAAACAUAACAGCAUCUGAUGCUUGCUUCAAAAUCAUUCCAAGAAAACCACAAUAACUGGUGACAGCUACUCCAGAUGCAGAUAAUCUAGCCAGUGAAUUUUCUCUUAUAUGAAAGAAACCAUUCUGAUCAUAUGGAAAUACUUUUAAAGUUUAUAAAAAGGGGGAAGGCACCUGGCUAGCUGUCAGAGGAUCAUGUGACACUUGAUCUCUGGUGGUGAGUUUGAGCUCCAUGUUGGGCAUAGAGAUUACUUAAAUUAAUACAAAUUUUAAAAAGGGGUGGGGCGCCUGGGUGGCUCAGUCGGUUAAGCGGCCGACUUUGGCUC